ACGCUCGACACCUACGGAGGCAGCAGUGGGGAAUAUUGCACAAUGGAGGAAACUCUGAUGCAGCGACGCCGCGUGGAGGAAGAAGGUCUUCGGAUUGUAAACUCCUGUUGUUGAGGACGAUAAUGACGGUACUCAACAAGGAAGUGACGGCUAACUACGUGCCAGUAGCCGCGGUAAUCUGAGCGGGCUGGCAAGGC
Molecule: ribosomal RNA, 197 nt
Filed under: uncultured bacterium
Lineage: Bacteria
Description: partial 16S ribosomal RNA
Rfam family: Bacterial small subunit ribosomal RNA
Source: RNAcentral